RNAcentral lists this ribosomal RNA (474 nucleotides) under Neisseria mucosa. Its description in RNAcentral is "bacterial SSU rRNA". It matches the Rfam family "Bacterial small subunit ribosomal RNA", at positions 30 to 493 of the family's 1533-position model. Lineage: Bacteria; Pseudomonadati; Pseudomonadota; Betaproteobacteria; Neisseriales; Neisseriaceae. The record is from RNAcentral.
AUUGAACGCUGGCGGCAUGCUUUACACAUGCAAGUCGGACGGCAGCACAGAGAAGCUUGCUUCUUGGGUGGCGAGUGGCGAACGGGUGAGUAACAUAUCGGAACGUACCGAGCAGUGGGGGAUAACUAAUCGAAAGAUUAGCUAAUACCGCAUAUAUUCUGAGGAAGAAAGCAGGGGACCAUUUGGCCUUGCGCUGUUUGAGCGGCCGAUAUCUGAUUAGCUAGUUGGUGGGGUAAAGGCCUACCAAGGCGACGAUCAGUAGCGGGUCUGAGAGGAUGAUCCGCCACACUGGGACUGAGACACGGCCCAGACUCCUACGGGAGGCAGCAGUGGGGAAUUUUGGACAAUGGGCGCAAGCCUGAUCCAGCCAUGCCGCGUGUCUGAAGAAGGCCUUCGGGUUGUAAAGGACUUUUGUCAGGGAAGAAAAGGGCGGGGUUAAUACCCCUGUCUGAUGACGUACCUGAAGAUAAGCAC